GGAACUCUGUCUAGUACAGGAAGGACACAUGAGUAAACAAUAAUUGCAAUUCAGUGUACAACGAAGGCGUACAACGGAGGUGACUGCUGUGGAAAAGGAGGCUGGACUCUGCUUGGUGGGGCAGGAAGACUUUGAAUCGGGACUCAAGGCCACCAGAACUCCAUCCCUGCUCAUGGCUUAUUUCUACUCAUCUCUGCCUGGCUGUGUUCUGCAAGAGACUUUCUUCACAUGGAGGGAAGGUGGCCACCCCCAACGCUACACCUGUAUCAUCUCAAGCAGCAGUCCCAACAUGAAGAGGACCUCCUUCCCAUCCUGCUGCCUGGAGAGCCGAUAUGAGGCCAUCAUCUUGGACCAUGAGAAGAAGAACCACAUCUUAUGUGAGGCAGAGUAAAAACACUGGGAGGAGCCGAGUCCCCUCUAGUCUUUUCCAUGAGAAAA
This is a long non-coding RNA of Rhinolophus ferrumequinum (greater horseshoe bat), 438 nucleotides long. RefSeq lists it as uncharacterized. The record is from RefSeq and is a predicted model, not a curated record. NCBI's taxonomy places the organism in Eukaryota, Metazoa, Chordata, Mammalia, Chiroptera, Rhinolophidae. The transcript has 3 exons.